GAAAUCAAUUAUACACAUAUGGGCUUGCAGGUUAAACUCACGGAUGUGUAUACCUCCCCGCAGUGAGGACAGCAUGGACAGCCACGACCAAACCGGCGGUGGGCCCAGGCGACAGCAGCGAUGUCAUGACGGCCACUUGGCGACUGGCUCCUAAAGGGAAGGUGCCAUUGACUGACACAUCCGGACUCGGAGCCGCUGAGCUGAGCCCGCGGUGAACGCAUGUCUGACCUCUGCCUUCGGGAGGGGACGCCGGGCACGGCUCACACAACCCAUCACCCUCCAGAGCGCGGUGCGCCUUUCCUGCCCUCCUACUCCGUCCCGGGCCCUUCCCCACCCGCUCCGGGCUCGGCUCCGUCUCCAAUGACUGACUGUACUGAACGCCAUGGCCGGUCUUAGACGCGCUGGGACCUGAACGAAGCCAUCAGACUCUCCACUGAUCACUCCAUUCACUCCUCAACCUAUUGUAAAACUUUAGCUCAAAUGGGCCGAGGAAAUAGAGUGCGCGCGCACAUGUGUGUGUGUGUGCAUGUAUGUGUGCGUGUGUGUGUGCGUGUGUGUGUGUGCGUGUGUGUGUGUGUGUGUGAGCAGAAGAGGAAGAGACCCCAAAAGCCUUAAAAUGGAGUGAAAGUUGGAGUCGGCAUCUAAACGAGGUUUGCUUCCCGGGCGACGCUGUUUGAAAGCUCAAAGCUCAAUCUGUCAAAAAUAGAUUUCUCUCCCUUUCCAAGUGUGGCAAACAGAGCCACACGCCUCGCCCAGACUCCUGCCUCUCACCCCAGAGGGUUUCUUUGGAGGAACCAACAAUCCCUUGGACGGGAACCCUGGACGGGCCGGCAUCAUUUUGGGAUUUGGGCGGUUGCCGGUGCCUGGCAGCCCCGGUAGAGUGACAGUCAGCGGCUGGACGGAACGCGAGAAAGCUGAUCCCGUCGCUGGCUCAGGCUCUUCGUGGACAAGAGACAAGAACCAUUCCCCAUCCCCCGAGGGUAUCAGCACGCAGGCGCGGCGGGGGGCUGCUCUGCAGAGCAGGGGCUGCUCCACUGGGCAUGCGCGUGGGUGGGCCUCCGUGACCGCAGCCGAGCUGCAGCCCCACUGCGUGUCAGAGCCGUGCAGCCCCGCGUGGCCUUUAUGCUCAGCCUCGUGUCUUCAGCCCGCAUCCCGGAUGGACCAUCUGUUCAGACGCCGGGAUUCAUGUGCACAAUGCAGUCAGUUGCCCGGUGACAUCUUCACUUUAUCUUAUAAAA
Molecule: long non-coding RNA, 1238 nt
Organism: Myotis myotis
Lineage: Eukaryota; Metazoa; Chordata; Mammalia; Chiroptera; Vespertilionidae
Exons: 3
Source: RefSeq, a predicted model, not a curated record